Molecule: long non-coding RNA, 399 nt
Filed under: Mus spicilegus (steppe mouse)
Lineage: Eukaryota; Metazoa; Chordata; Mammalia; Rodentia; Muridae
Description: lncRNA (ENSMSIG00000022757.1)
Source: RNAcentral
AUGGAAGGGCUAACGCACCAGGCUUUCGUGAUCUCUUGGAUUUUGGAUGGACUCUUCUAUCUUAACAUUAUAAAGACAUCAGCCCUCAUCUGUUCUUGUGUUCUCGGCCCACUCUUCUGUACCGCUCCUCUGCUGUCUGGGCACCAUUCUUUAAAGGCACCAUUAGAGCAUGGAUUCAUUUCAAAAAAGAUGCAGGCUCUAGUGCUGGUUGCAGGCCUUUUCUCCUCCAGGGCCAAGGAUAGAACCCGGGCCUCAAACACACCAGGCAAGUAUUCUUCCACUGAGCUACAAUCACAGCCCUCGAUAUUUUUUUAAACCCAAGGUCUCAUUAUCUAGUCUAGGCUGGCUUUGAGCUUGCUAUGUAGCCCAGGUUGACUUAGCACUGGCAAUUCUCCUGCC